GACGAACGCUGGCGGCGUGCCUAACACAUGCAAGUCGAACGGGGUGAUUUCCUUCGGGAGAUCACUUAGUGGCGAACGGGUGAGUAACGCGUGAGGAACCUGCCUCUCAGUGGGGGACAACAGUUGGAAACGACUGCUAAUACCGCAUAAUAUAUUCGGACCGCAUGAUCUGAAUAUCAAAGAUUUAUUGCUGAGAGAUGGCCUCGCGUCUGAUUAGCUAGUUGGUGAGGUAACGGCCCACCAAGGCGACGAUCAGUAGCCGGACUGAGAGGUUGACCGGCCACAUUGGGACUGAGAUACGGCCCAGACUCCUACGGGAGGCAGCAGUGGGGAAUAUUGGGCAAUGGGCGCAAGCCUGACCCAGCAACGCCGCGUGAAGGAAGAAGGCUUUCGGGUUGUAAACUUCUUUUACCAGGGUACGAAGGACGUGACGGUACCUGAUGAAUAAGCCACGGCUAACUACGUG
Molecule: ribosomal RNA, 466 nt
Filed under: uncultured bacterium
Lineage: Bacteria
Description: bacterial SSU rRNA
Rfam family: Bacterial small subunit ribosomal RNA
Source: RNAcentral